CACGUAGGGUGCGAGCGUUAAUCGGAAUUACUGGGCGUAAAGCGUGCGCAGGCGGUUUUGUAAGCCAGAUGUGAAAGCCCCGGGCUUAACCUGGGAAUGGCAUUUGGGACUGCAAGGCUUGAGUGCGGCAGAGGAGACUGGAAUUCCUGGUGUAGCAGUGAAAUGCGUAGAUAUCAGGAGGAAUACCGAUGGCGAAGGCAGGUCUCUGGGCUGACACUGACGCUCAUGCACGAAAGCGUGGGGAGCAAACAGG
RNAcentral lists this ribosomal RNA (253 nucleotides) under uncultured bacterium. RNAcentral's name for it is "partial 16S ribosomal RNA". It matches the Rfam family "Bacterial small subunit ribosomal RNA", at positions 524 to 776 of the family's 1533-position model. The record is from RNAcentral.